Molecule: ribosomal RNA, 794 nt
Filed under: uncultured Alphaproteobacteria bacterium
Lineage: Bacteria; Pseudomonadati; Pseudomonadota; Alphaproteobacteria
Description: bacterial SSU rRNA
Rfam family: Bacterial small subunit ribosomal RNA
Source: RNAcentral
UACACAUGCAAGUCGAACGCUCCGCAAUGGGAGUGGCGCACGGGUGAGUAACACGUGGGAACCUACCUUCUGGUACGGAACAACCAAGGGAAACUUUGGCUAAUACCGUAUACGACCUCCGGGUGAAAGAUUUAUCGCCAGAAGAGGGGCCCGCGUCCGAUUAGGUAGUUGGUGAGGUAACGGCUCACCAAGCCGACGAUCGGUAGCUGGUCUGAGAGGAUGACCAGCCACACUGGGACUGAGACACGGCCCAGACUCCUACGGGAGGCAGCAGUGGGGAAUAUUGGACAAUGGGCGCAAGCCUGAUCCAGCCAUGCCGCGUGAGUGAUGAAGGCCUUCGGGUUGUAAAGCUCUUUCACCCACGACGAUGAUGACGGUAGUGGGAGAAGAAGCCCCGGCUAACUUCGUGCCAGCAGCCGCGGUAAUACGAAGGGGGCAAGCGUUGUUCGGAAUGACUGGGCGUAAAGGGCGCGUAGGCGGUUCGUUGCGUCAGAUGUGAAAGCCCCGGGCUCAACCUGGGAACUGCAUUUGAUACGGGCGAGCUUGAAUCCAAGAGAGGGUGGUGGAAUUCCCAGUGUAGAGGUGAAAUUCGUAGAUAUUGGGAAGAACACCAGUGGCGAAGGCGGCCACCUGGCUUGGUAUUGACGCUGAGGCGCGAAAGCGUGGGGAGUAAACAGGAUUAGAUACCCUGGUAGUCCACGCCGUAAACGAUGUGUGCUAGCCGUCGGGCAGCUUGCUGUUCGUGCGCAGCUAACGCGAAUAUGCACACCGCUGGGGGAGUACGGUCGCAGAUU